CUUAAUAUCAAUGUUACAAGUGUUCGGUAUAUAUGCCGACUUAAAAGGGAAACAGGUGAAAAUCCUGUACGGUCCCGCCGCUGUGAUGGGGAAAUGUAUCAUAAAUGAUGCCACUGUAUAUUCCGGGAAGGCAUGAUACAUUGAUGAACCAGAGUCAGAAGACCUGCUUGUAAUGCAAAAGCGUA
RNAcentral lists this non-coding RNA (185 nucleotides) under Lutispora thermophila. RNAcentral also lists the same sequence under 1 other name. The record is from RNAcentral. Lineage: Bacteria; Bacillati; Bacillota; Clostridia; Lutisporales; Lutisporaceae.